RNAcentral lists this ribosomal RNA (467 nucleotides) under uncultured bacterium. RNAcentral describes it as "partial 16S ribosomal RNA". It matches the Rfam family "Bacterial small subunit ribosomal RNA", at positions 29 to 507 of the family's 1533-position model. The record is from RNAcentral.
ACGAACGCUGGCGGCGUGCUUAACACAUGCAAGUCGAACGGAAAGGCCCUGCUUUUGUGGGGUGCUCGAGUGGCGAACGGGUGAGUAACACGUGAGUAACCUGCCCUUGACUUUGGGAUAACUUCAGGAAACUGGGGCUAAUACCGGAUAGGAGCUCCUGCUGCAUGGUGGGGGUUGGAAAGUUUCGGCGGUUGGGGAUGGACUCGCGGCUUAUCAGCUUGUUGGUGGGGUAGUGGCUUACCAAGGCUUUGACGGGUAGCCGGCCUGAGAGGGUGACCGGCCACAUUGGGACUGAGAUACGGCCCAGACUCCUACGGGAGGCAGCAGUGGGGAAUAUUGCACAAUGGGCGGAAGCCUGAUGCAGCAACGCCGCGUGCGGGAUGACGGCCUUCGGGUUGUAAACCGCUUUCGCCUGUGACGAAGCGUGAGUGACGGUAAUGGGAAAAGAAGCACCGGCUAACUACGUG